Molecule: long non-coding RNA, 402 nt
Organism: Teleopsis dalmanni
Lineage: Eukaryota; Metazoa; Arthropoda; Insecta; Diptera; Diopsidae
Exons: 3
Source: RefSeq, a predicted model, not a curated record
UAACGCAGUAACGUAAAGCUACAGAAUAUGCAAAUCACUUGUUGACGUCACCGUACAAAUGACUAGCUUCACUUUCCGCUAAUGGCCAAACAUAUGGCCCCAAAACUAAGGCGUUUAUAUUCUGCGCUUAGGAAAAUUCAUGCAGUUUUAUAAUAGAUCGGUAGUCGGAACGCCCUAGUUCGCUUUAAAACAUCAAUUCAGUUUUUAUACCUUACUUCAUAAUUCUGAUAAAAAGAAUAGAAUAGAAUAGAAUAAAAAUAAACAAGGUACCAACUCCCAACGGAGCGGCGCACUGCGACGAUUGUUGAUCUUUUGUGCUGAAAUAUACCCUAACCGAACAGAAGACCUUCUACCUUUCGAAUGAAAGCCAGAAUAUCAGCCAUUGAGAACCUCGUUAUAUCA